CCUACGGGGGGCAGCAGUGAGGAAUAUUGGUCAAUGGCCGGAAGGCUGAACCAGCCAAAUCGCGUGAGGGACGACUGCCCUAUGGGUUGUACACCUCUUUUAUAAGGGCAGAAUAAAUGCUACGUGUAGCAUGAUGCCUGUAACUUAUGAAUAAGCAUCGGCUCACUCCGUGCCCGCAGCCGCGGUAAUACGGAGGAUGCUAUCGUUAUCCGGAUUUAUUGGGUUUAAGGGGUGCGUAGGGGGUUGUUUAAGUUAGUGGUAAAACGUCGGGGCUUCACCUUGGUUUGCAAUUAAUAAGGUAAGACUCGAGUUCAGACGAGGUAGGCGGAAUAAGUUAAGUAGCGGUGAAAUGCUUAGAUAUAACUUAGAACUCCGAUAGCGAAGGCAGCUUACCAGACUGCGACUGACGCUGAAGCACGAGAGCGUGGGUAGCGAACAGGAUUAGAUACCCCUGUAGUC
This 459-nucleotide ribosomal RNA is filed under the name uncultured bacterium. Its description in RNAcentral is "partial 16S ribosomal RNA". It matches the Rfam family "Bacterial small subunit ribosomal RNA", at positions 338 to 795 of the family's 1533-position model. The record is from RNAcentral.